UGGCGCGCAUGCUCGCUGCCGCGGGCCUUGAUCAGGUUCGCGCUCAGGUGCUCGCCGAUCACCUCGCCGGCGUACAGGCCGCGGAAGAGGCCGCAGAGCAGUACCUUCCCAGUCCUCAGAAGGCCCUGCUCUGGGUCUCUCCCCCAGCUGCAUCCUGCACAGAGUGAGGAGACCGUGCCCAGCCUCCAGUAGGCUUCACACCCAGUGCAGAGCCCAACGCGGGGCUGGAGCUCACGACCCUGCGACCCCCACCUGAGCUGAGAUCGAGAACAGCGAUCAGAGCAGCUAACCAACUGAGCCACCCAGGGGCCACCACAGGCUUCUUUUUGAAAGCCUCCUCCCGUCGCUGACCGGGGUGUGCACCGAGGAGCAGGCUGCAGUCUCCAGGACCAGCGGCCACUCCUCCGUCGUCGUCAUCCUUGGCCUUUCAGCACUGUCUGCCGCCGCCUUGUCCUCUCUGGCCUUGCUCUCCCUCCUCUCCUCUGCCUCCAUCUCCAUCCUGUCCCUCGGCGACUGGCCUCUCUCUGCCUGAGAAGCUGGGUUCAUCCCUGAUUCGGCCUCCAGCAUUCAGCUUCCGUUUGCCCUCUGACUGAACGAACUAAGUGAAUGGCCCCACUGGUAAUUCCUGCCGGCUCCCCGGUCAGACUCCAUCCAGAACCCUACCGCUUCUCAUGACCUCCACGCCUCCCGCCAAGGUCUGAGCCACCAUCUGCCUCACCUGAUUCCUGCGCGAGCCUCGCCGCCCGGCUCCCUGCGUCAGCCCUGGUCCCUCCAUGAUACUCCUUCCUGCAGCCAGAGUGACUCCUUUAAAACAUGGGUUGGAUCGUGUCCCUCUUUGACUUGAAAUCUUCCAAGUGCUCCCCAUCUCUCCCAGCGUAAAAGUGGAAAGGAAAACCCUUAGAAGGCCCAGCAGAACCUGGUCCCCGUUACCUCUGGUCUCCUCUCGUUAUCUCUCCCAGACAUACUCCUGCCUCAGGGCCUUGACACUGCCUGUCCCUUCUGCCUAGAAUCCUCUUCCCCAGAUAUCUCCGAAUGGCUCUCUUACACGUCUUUGCUCAAAGGUCGGUUUCCCUGUAAGGUCCAACCCAUUUAAAAUGUAACUGUCUCCCUUCUAGAAUUCCCUCACCCUACACACCUUGUAAUACACAGUUCACUUCUUA
Hyaena hyaena (striped hyena) is the source of this 1160-nucleotide long non-coding RNA. RefSeq lists it as uncharacterized. The record is from RefSeq and is a predicted model, not a curated record. Lineage: Eukaryota; Metazoa; Chordata; Mammalia; Carnivora; Hyaenidae. The transcript is spliced from 5 exons.